CACACCAUUGGGUGCGUCUCUGAAAGUUUUCAGAGGGGUUUAGAUGAAGCGGAAAGACCACUCUGAAUAUGGGUAGCAUGGCUCCACCAGGCUGGUGUCCUGGACUGAAUAAUAAUGAGAAUGUGAGCAGUGCACCAGCAUCCAUUACUCUCUGCUUCCCGACUGUGGAUACAAUGUAUCCAGCUGCCUCCAGCUGCUGCCCCAGUCAAAUACAAAUACCUUCAAAAGUGAGCCCAAAUACCAGCUUUUCUCUCUGAACCCCCUUUCUGUUCAGUAAGUUUGUCAUAGGAUUGAGAAAAGUAAGCAGCAUAAAACCUGAAUGAAGCAAGCAAAGGGACUCUGACAGACCACGCCCACUCAGGUCUCACACAGCCGCUGGCUAAUAAAGCUCUGGGUGGCUCAAGAAGCCCAAAGGUAGACUCAGUCCCUCAUCAACCUUAGGAUGCAGAUCAGAACGACACAGCCCAGUGGUUCCAAGAGAGCCAGUGUCAGCACCAAACAGACUGUCCGGGCGUUUUCUCUCUCUUCUGAAAGCCACAGGCUGACUCUCUCUCAACCACCAUUGUGACAUGAUGACGGGUGGAUCAAGUCCUCCCAGCAAGCAGGGCAGCAGGAUACAAACAGCAUAGCCCUCCUUUCAACAACAAAUAUCAGUGGACCCAUCUGGAAGGGCAGGCAGCCUCACCCAAGGGUGGUGACAACCCAGACAUCACGCAAACCUCUCUCUCUCUGUCCCAGACUUGUUAGGCAAUAGGUUAGCUCUGAGAGGAACUGACCAAUGACACCCCAAAAGGAAGAUAUGAAGAACAAUAGGAGAUAGUGGUAGACUCAAGCCGGGUCAGCUCAAACUGGCUUCAGGGACUUUCUCAUCAGGAGAGCAGGUGGAGAGAGAGAGAGCUCCGUUACCUUUUUCUUUCCUUUCCUUUCCUUUCCUUUCCUUUCCUUUCCUUUCCUUUCCUUUCCUUUCCUUUCCUUUCCUUUCCUUUUUUCUUUCCUUUCCUUUUCUUUCUUUCUUUCUUUCUUUCUUUCUUUCUUUCUUUCUUUCUUUCUUUCUUUCUUUCUUUCUUUCUUUUUUAGCCCUUCCUACCUUAGUUUGCUUCAAACACACACACACACACACACACACACACACACACACACACACACACACACACACACAGAAAACCUGUAACAGCAAAAUCCCUUUUAUUUUGUGGAUUUGAAGAAAAGGCCUCUUUCUUCCUUUAAGGUCACAUUACAGUUGCCUAUAGCCACGAUGCUGUUGUCUUUCCUGAUGGUCCAGGGACUGAAGAAUCUGUUCCUUCCUCCAAGGCCCCUGCCAAGCUCUAUAAGGCGGCCAUCUUUCCCAGUGAGGCUGCUCCUUGGACCUGAAGGCCUGCUCUCUUGCGUCUGGGCCCCGUUUUGGAAUAAUUCUGAAGGGGCUGAGAGGUCCGAAGAGGCACAGAGAUCUCAGUUCUGGGAAUGAGUCACUCUUCUCAACUAGCAUUUACAUUUCCACCUCAAUCCAUCCGGGCUUAAGCAUCAGGAGGGUGGAUGCUUCUAUGCAAUCGAUCUGGUCUAGAAUCUGCAUUUGGAUCUUUCUCACCUUUAGAAGACAGGACUCAAGAUGCCUGGAGCUCCUUCACAUUUAUCAGGUCGUAACUUGAUGUGAGACAUUGGAAUGAAAAAUGUGAGUGGCCAGACACCAGGACUUAAGAAUGUUUGUGCUGCAAAAACAUCACCGAAACGAGUGAACUUUGCAACAACCCAUUGUCUCAAGAUUUUCAAGAUUCCCCUUAUUCAAAAUCUUCCCCUCUUCCAACCAUAUAAAGGAUAAAUACA
Mus musculus (house mouse) is the source of this 1821-nucleotide long non-coding RNA. RefSeq annotates it as predicted gene, 51448. The record is from RefSeq and is a predicted model, not a curated record. Lineage: Eukaryota; Metazoa; Chordata; Mammalia; Rodentia; Muridae. The transcript is spliced from 3 exons.